RNAcentral lists this transfer RNA (74 nucleotides) under Arabidopsis thaliana (thale cress). RNAcentral's name for it is "tRNA AT1G56990". It matches the Rfam family "tRNA". From Rfam's summary of the family: Transfer RNA (tRNA) molecules are approximately 80 nucleotides in length. The record is from RNAcentral. Lineage: Eukaryota; Viridiplantae; Streptophyta; Magnoliopsida; Brassicales; Brassicaceae.
CCGACCUUAGCUCAGUUGGUAGAGCGGAGGACUGUAGUAUCCUUAGGUCACUGGUUCGAAUCUGGUAGGUUUGA